Molecule: ribosomal RNA, 546 nt
Filed under: Salmonella enterica subsp. enterica serovar Adelaide
Lineage: Bacteria; Pseudomonadati; Pseudomonadota; Gammaproteobacteria; Enterobacterales; Enterobacteriaceae
Description: partial 23S ribosomal RNA
Rfam family: Bacterial large subunit ribosomal RNA
Source: RNAcentral
AAUCCAUAGGUUAAUGAGGCGAACCGGGGGAACUGAAACAUCUAAGUACCCCGAGGAAAAGAAAUCAACCGAGAUUCCCCCAGUAGCGGCGAGCGAACGGGGAGGAGCCCAGAGCCUGAAUCAGCAUGUGUGUUAGUGGAAGCGUCUGGAAAGGCGCGCGAUACAGGGUGACAGCCCCGUACACAAAAGCGCAUGUGCUGUGAGCUCGAUGAGUAGGGCGGGACACGUGGUAUCCUGUCUGAAUAUGGGGGGACCAUCCUCCAAGGCUAAAUACUCCUGACUGACCGAUAGUGAACCAGUACCGUGAGGGAAAGGCGAAAAGAACCCCGGCGAGGGGAGUGAAAAAGAACCUGAAACCGUGUACGUACAAGCAGUGGGAGCCCCACCACUAAGCCAGUGGUGAACUCCACAUACGCAUCCUUUGCUGAGGAUACGGUUAACGGAGCGAAAGCGAUGUUCAACCGCAAAACAAGCAGAGGGGGCUUAGUGGUGGGGUGACUGCGUACCUUUUGUAUAAUGGGUCAGCGACUUAUAUUCUGUAGCAAG